CCUACGGGAGGCAGCAGUGGGGAAUAUUGCACAAUGGAGGAAACUCUGAUGCAGCGACGCCGCGUGAGUGAAGAAGUAAUUCGUUAUGUAAAGCUCUAUCAGCAGGGAAGAUAGUGACGGUACCUGACUAAGAAGCUCCGGCUAAAUACGUGCCAGCAGCCGCGGUAAU
Molecule: ribosomal RNA, 169 nt
Filed under: uncultured bacterium
Lineage: Bacteria
Description: partial 16S ribosomal RNA
Rfam family: Bacterial small subunit ribosomal RNA
Source: RNAcentral